GGGGUCCUAGCGCCCGGCCGGCGCGCCCCCGCGUGACUCGGUUUAUCCGGAACCCGCGAGGGGAGGAAGCAUUUUCUCGCGGCCGAAACCGCGAGGCUGGGGAGGGGCGGGUCGAAGAGGACAGGGUGAAAGGACGGGGAAGGAGAGGGGUCCCUAAGGAAGGGCUGUGCCACCGAGGCCGCCGCCGCACGUGCAGUUCGUGGCCCCGCGGGGUCCGGAGGGGCGGGUGGCUCUAGCAGCCGCAGGUCCGCAGAGGAAAUCCGGCCUGGCCCCGAUUUCUCCCGCUGUUGGCGCCGCCGCACUUAGGGGAGGCAAACAGGAGAGGUGACGGCGGGGCUGAACACGGAAGGAAAUGACCCUUCACUGGCCCUGGAGCGGCCACAAAGGGGGUUCCCCCACACCGCAGCCAUCCCCUCUGGUGGGUCCACAGUCCCCUCUCUGGUUGUGCUGUAGUGUUCAGAGCCUCCUCCAGCGUCUCCUGGACCCUCAAGCAGCUGUGGAAAGAUCCUUGUCCAAGGGGCCAAAUGCCCGGGAAGUACCUCACAGCAGCCCUGCAGCAUUGGCAGAACAUGGCUGAGCUGGAAUCAGACAGUUCUCAGGCUCUCCCACCCAACCUGCUCCCCCCACAUCCAGCACCACUUCACUUUUCUCUGAGCUGCUGCCAAGCAGAAACUGCUGGGCUGGCACAGAGCUUUGGCUGGGGCUGGGGUAGGGCGGGGCUGGGGCUAUGGCGGGCUGGGGGAGAGCCACUCUCCUCCUCCCACACACCUCCAAAGACUGUGGUUGUGGUUAGUCAGUUCACAGGGGUCCACCUCACUCAGUGCCUAGAUGGGGCUCCCCAGGAGUUGGAGACAGAUGGGCAACCAAGCGAGCCUACCCGCUGCAGAUGCCUCUGGGGACCAGGGCCUGAAAGCGGGAACCCCAUGUGCUCAGUGCCCCUUCCUUCAUCUCUUCAUGUCUUCAGCGAUCACAUUGAGUGUGACUUUUGGCAUAUUGCUUGAUCUUUCUGACCUCAGUUUGCUGAUCUUCAAAGUGAGAAUAAUAGUAACACCUGAUGUUCUGGCUUAUUGUGAAGCCCAAAUUGCAGAAACGUGUGUAAACAUCUGAUGGGGGCCUGGCC
Bos taurus (domestic cattle) is the source of this 1120-nucleotide long non-coding RNA. The record is from Ensembl. Lineage: Eukaryota; Metazoa; Chordata; Mammalia; Artiodactyla; Bovidae.